This 1771-nucleotide long non-coding RNA is filed under the name Paramuricea clavata. The record is from RNAcentral. Lineage: Eukaryota; Metazoa; Cnidaria; Anthozoa; Malacalcyonacea; Plexauridae.
UAUGUUUUGGCUUUCUUUCAAAGAUUUGAAGAUGUAUUUUGAAAAACAGAAAUUCAGGAACCGAUUUGGUAAGUGUUUUCAAGUAGUCCUUCACUUUGUAGACGCAAUUUGAAAACCUUCUCUUCAAAAAACUCUUUGUUCAUGCAGACAGGAAUUCGCGAAGCAUGUUUUGAAUCGCAAAUAUACAGUGUUCCGGUGUAGUUAGUGUUCAAAUUCUGUCAAUAGUAAACUGUUUUCAGUUGUAUAACCACCUGAAAAAGAUCUUCGACAAAGGGUCUUCACUUUCACCGAAACAGCCAUCUAUAAAAACAAUUCAAUAGCUGUACAUGCAAACAGUCGUACACGUUUUCCUUGACUUAAGUUUCUUCGUGAGUUUUGUUUUGCUCGUGAGUCGUGUAUCCAGCCAACACGAUUCGUUCACGCAACGACCGGAGACAUGCACGUGUAUAUUUCGUUGUAUAAAAGCUGGUUUAAUAUACCAGACAAAACGAAAUACGUACAGUAUAUAUAAGCCAAAUAGGCCAUCGCCAUCUUGAAUCUAUUGUUUUCACCAUUGUGCUUGCAUCCCCUCCAAAUUUACCUACCAUUCUUUUGUGUUUCACAUUAUGGCGUCGUUAACCUUGGAAGGGUCUAUUCGGGGUUUUUGUGUCCGGAUAAAUUGCAGGGGCCAAUUGUUCAAAGGUGGGUUAGCGCUAACCCUGGGUUAAAAUUUAACCUGUUGUUUUAGUUUGUGUAUUUCUGCACGUCUGUAUUUAUUUCAAAUUUUCAGGGAAGUAAACUCCUAUCGAUUCAGACAAGAUCUCUGAAGAAACAUUUUAGACAAGCUGUCACGAAGUUUGCUUUGAAUUUUAGGUUAACGUAGGGUUAAGCUAAUCCACCUUUGAACAACUGGCCCCAGAUGAAUUAUAACAUGUAUAUAGCUGAAAGUAUUAGAAUGUGCAUGGCAAAGUACAAUUUAGUUGUUUAAUAAUUUGUGUUUCACUUAUACAGGGUGUCCCAAAACCCCCCAAAACUAUUGAAAUAACGUAUUGUUAGAAUUUGAAUGUCUCAAACUCUGCUGAACCCACACUAGUGUAUAAAAGCUUGAAUAAAUAAAUUGUAUGCACAAAGAAACUGUUUAAGAAGCUGCUUUGAAUUCCCAAGAGCAGAAAAUCGUGCGCUUUACAAAGGUAUUUGAAUUUCUUAAUAUAAGUCAAUAUUUAUAAUAUAUGCACCCUGUCAGUAUUUUACGCAUCUUUGCGUUCAGCCUAGCGCCAGGGCAUUCAAAUUCUAACAAUACGUUAUUUCAGUAGUUUUGGGUUUUUUUGGGGGGACACCCUGUAUAACCACAAUAGAACUGUCAUUAAAUAUUUUUUGUAUAGCAUAUAUCUUCUGUGUAAAGCAAAGUGGAGGAAGAUACACUUAAAGAAUAUAUUUUUUUCAUUUAAAGCGCAUCAAUCCUGCGGAAACUAAUCGUUCUUUGAGGAACCUUUGCAUAUUCACUAAUGAGGAUUGAAUGGUUGAAUAUUUUGACAUGCAUGUAUGUACAGUGUGUAUUUUGACAUGCAUGUAUGUACGAAACUCAAAGAAAUAACAAUUAGAAAAUUUAAAAGUUUUUAAGAGUUUUGUCCCAUGAGUACAAGACCUUGUGUUAUUACCCAACCAAUAAUUCAAAGCAAUUAGACCUGUCAAAUGGACCUUUCCCCCUAUAACUAAAAUUUUGAUCUAGACUCUUUCACAGCUUGAAAGAGCAUCACAAAAUUAGUAAUAUUCCAAAGUUUUGUUGCAAAAU